This 466-nucleotide ribosomal RNA is filed under the name Vreelandella stevensii. RNAcentral's name for it is "partial 16S ribosomal RNA". It matches the Rfam family "Bacterial small subunit ribosomal RNA", at positions 338 to 795 of the family's 1533-position model. The record is from RNAcentral. Lineage: Bacteria; Pseudomonadati; Pseudomonadota; Gammaproteobacteria; Oceanospirillales; Halomonadaceae.
CCUACGGGGUGCUGCAGUGGGGAAUAUUGGACAAUGGGCGAAAGCCUGAUCCAGCCAUGCCGCGUGUGUGAAGAAGGCCUUCGGGUUGUAAAGCACUUUCAGUGGGGAAGAAAGCCUUGGGGCUAAUACCCUCGAGGAAGGACAUCACCCACAGAAGAAGCACCGGCUAACUCCGUGCCAGCAGCCGCGGUAAUACGGAGGGUGCGAGCGUUUAAUCGGAAUUACUGGGCGUAAAGCGCGCGUAGGCGGUCUGAAAGCCGGUUGGUGAAAGCCCCGGGCUCAACCUGGGAACGGCAUCCGGAACUGUCAGGCUAGAGUGCAGGAGAGGAAGGUAGAAUUCCCGGUGUAGCGGUGAAAUGCGUAGAGAUCGGGAGGAAUACCAGUGGCGAAGGCGGCCUUCUGGACUGACACUGACGCUGAGGUGCGAAAGCGUGGGUAGCAAACAGGAUUAGAUACCCGUGUAGUC